CAAAAACCGGAUGUACUGGCACUUGACGACUUAACGUCUAUUUGUUUGCAUAUGCACCAAUAGAGUAAUUAUUAUAUGCAUUUGGUGCUAUUUCUAACCAGUGAAAAAGACGGAUGGAGAUGUUCAAUUGUGAAAUGUUGAACUUGAAGGGGACUAACGUGGGGUGGGAAAAAAGACACUGGCUCCUCUCUGCAAAGCGAGCCAAAAAGCAUCAAGGGAUGAGUAAACCAUGAAGCGGCUACUCGAAGUCUCGUGAACUCUGCAUUCCCGCAACAGGACCGACAGCUGAAGGACAAAUGAGAUGGGACAGUUGUGGUCUGGUUGUCUUUGAGCCUCGGAAAGUCAGUGACAAACAGCAUCUUUUUCAAUGCAAGCAUGCACUUUAACUUGGUAGAUACGUGUGACUGCAAUCUGAGCUUUUAAAUUCACUUCAUUCGUGUACUCGCGUAGUGUGCUACCUCGGCUAUGACCAAACAAAUCUCUGUUUAUUAGUGCUUUGCAAUAAACCAACACAUUCAAGAAAAUUGGUUUCAACUCGAACAUUUCAUAUCAAUAUUAUAGCCAAGUGUUUUAAAUAUUAAUGUGCGAGCAACCCAUCAGCGCUUGGGUGGGCGAGUUAAUAAGAUGGAACCCAUAUCAGCUUCAUCCUGCAAUUUUAAUACAUUAACAUAUUUCAUCGCAGCAGCAAAGCAUGCAACAUUUGCUUGAUUUCUGAAGCAGAACCGUUGGAGAAAAGAAAAUGUUCCGUUAGGAAGGGGGCGGGAUAUUUAGAGAUGGAGCUUUACAAGAAUUGUCAAUCACUAAACAGGCGCAUUUCAUGGCGCUGUUCACAGUGAGGGAUGAGAAUAUUCUAUCUAUAACAUACACUUAGGAUCAACUUAGUGUGAGAGAAAUCUGUU
Molecule: long non-coding RNA, 899 nt
Organism: Chiloscyllium plagiosum (whitespotted bambooshark)
Lineage: Eukaryota; Metazoa; Chordata; Chondrichthyes; Orectolobiformes; Hemiscylliidae
Source: RefSeq, a predicted model, not a curated record